CCUACGGGUGGCUGUAGUGAGGAAUAUUGGUCAAUGGGCGAGAGCCUGAACCAGCCAAGUCGCGUGAAGGAUGACGGCCCUACGGGUUGUAAACUUCUUUUGUCAGGGAGUAAUUGGGUCCACGCGUGGGUUUUGCGAGAGUACCUGAAGAUAAAGCAUCGGUUAACUCCGUGCCAGCAGCCGCGGUAAUAAGGAGGAUGCGAGCGUUAUCCGGAUUUUUUGGGUUUAAAGGGUGCGUAGGCGGAAUAUCAAGUCAGCGGGAAAAAUUCGGGGCUCAACCCCGUCGUGCCGUUGAAACUGGUGUUCUUGAGUGGGCGGGAGGUAUGCGGAAUGCGUGGUGUAGCGGUGAAAUGCAUAGAUAUCACGCAGAACUCCGAUUGCGAAGGCAGCAUACCGGCGCCCAACUGACGCUGAAGCACGAAAGCGUGGGUAUCGAACAGGAUUAGAUACCCCUGUAGUC
Molecule: ribosomal RNA, 460 nt
Filed under: uncultured bacterium
Lineage: Bacteria
Description: partial 16S ribosomal RNA
Rfam family: Bacterial small subunit ribosomal RNA
Source: RNAcentral